Non-coding RNA from Equus caballus (horse), 4621 nucleotides. Lineage: Eukaryota; Metazoa; Chordata; Mammalia; Perissodactyla; Equidae. The record is from RefSeq and is a predicted model, not a curated record.
GGAGUGGCAGCAGAUGUUAGCUCAGGGCUAAUCUUCCUCAAAAAAAAAAAAAAAAAAAAAAGACCCUGGAAGAAAGAAGAGGUCAGAGGCUAGGAGAAGCCGCUUCUUAUGUCAGGCUGGAAGAUGUUAACCUUCAGAAAACAAUCUUUACACAUAGAAGCAGCGUGUUCAGUUAAUAACUUGGAACACACGUUUAUGACUCGUGGAAGACGGUGACUAUUUUGGCCUAAUGAUGUGUGCUCAGUUUGAGGUCCAGAAACUCUGUUUAUCUGGUGUGUGACCUUGGUUGCCUGGUCCCUUGCUGGGAGGUGACAGAAGCAGACUGAAGUGCCAGUUCCAGCGCCCCCAUCUCGACUGCUUGACUCUCAGGCACCCGUCUCUCUGACCCAGUGGGAAUAGAGGCUCUAACGGCUUCGUGAGCCCUCGGGGAUGCCCUCUUGGCUGACUGGGGCCAAUUUCCUUCCUCUCAACUCUCCUCGCCUUCUUCAUUUCGAUGUCACCACGUCCCUUGCGAUCCUGUCAGCCAGGCCCACCCCAGAAGAGGGAUUCUCGGGCAGUUGGCCUCAGUUUCCUUUUUCCCCUCCCUUCUUCCUUCCACGUGAAAUGACAUGGACAGGCUCCAAAUCCCUUCCUGCUCUCAUUGCCCGAGGGCCUAGUGAAGGUGCCAGUGAGAUAUCUGGGCAGUGGCUCGUCUCUGAAACCACUGAGGGAGGAAGGCGGUGACUCCACGUGCUCUGGCCAGACAGCUUUUCUCUAUAGGAAGAGUUGAGAUGGCUUUCUGGACAAAGUUGGAAAGCCAAAAGAGCCAGCCAGGGAGCCACGGAGAAUAAAGAAAUUUCAGCAGAAGCCUCAAAGGCAGAGAACAAAAUAGUCAGUGUCAAGAAGCCCCCCCAUCUACACAAGGUGCUGAGACUCCACGCAGGACAAGCUCAGAAAGUGGGACACUCCUCCAUCUGCAUUAGCCCUUUCCCAGUCCCAGCCUUUCAACAGGUCAGCGGGGUUUCUGUGGAGAGGGUUGACUGAGGGCUGUGUGUUCCCACGCCAAGUGCCCUUCCCUGGGGAGGGGAGAAAGGUGCACCACCGCACCUCAAGGUGAGCUAGAAGAGCUUCAGGGGAGCUUUCUUUGUGCCUUUAAAUGUUUGGGGGAAACAUCAGGACUGGUCUGAGCAGUCAGGGUGGCGCUGCGCCAACGCUGCCCUGUCCCAGAGGGAAAGUUGCUUGAUUCCCGUGGACCAAAUGUGGGUCGCGAGGUGAGGAGACCGCCCGGAGCCUCCUCGAAAGGAACCCCAUCCACAAGGGCUGCGGGGGUUGGGGGUGGGGGCAAAGGGCCCCAGCAGAGAGAUGGACCCCUGGAAAGCCAGAGGCUGAAGGGACCCCACAGAGAGAUGGACCCUGGAAAGCCAGAGGCUGAAGGGACCCCACAGAGAGAUGGACCCCUGGAAAGUCAGAGGCAAAGGGACCCAGAAGAGAGAUGGACCCUGGAAAGCCAGAGGCUGAAGGGACCUCACAGAGAGAUGGACCCCUGGAAAGCCAGAGGCAAAGGGACCCAGCAGAGAGACGGACCCUGGAAAGCCAUAGGCUGAAGGGACCCCACAGAGAGAUAGACCCUGGGAAGCCAGAGGCUGAAGGGCUACCACAAUCCCCCUCUCCAGCACACACACCCCAACCUCGUAACGAAAAUUGUAGCUGGGAUGGGGUUGCCAGAUUUAAUGAAUACAAAAUACAAGACGGCCAUUUCAAUUUCAAUUUCAGAUGAGCAAUGGAUAAGUUUUUGGUAUAACUAUGGCACACAAAGUAUUUGAGAUAUACUAAAAAUUUAUUUAUUGUUUAUCUGAGCUUCAAAUUUAGCUGGGCAUUCUGCACUCUAUCUGGCAACCCUGGUUGGAAGCUUUACAGCAGAAAUCUUGCGGCUUCUCCAGGAAACCUACAGCAGUGCCCCAAACAGAAGUUAGCUAUUGAGCCCCAACGUCAGGUCACUACUGAAGCAAUCAAAUAAGGGCCUUUCUCUCCUCUAUCCUUGUUCCUUUCCCCUUCCCUUCAUCCCCCACUUCUCAUCCGUAACCGUAACCCAGCUAGUGAGCAGGAGAUGGAAGAAGGGAGGGUGCAGGAGGAGAUGACCACACCCACACCCUCCGCCACUGGAGGAAGGAGACACUUUCAUGUAAACGAAAUUGAGCAUUUUGCUUAUUAUCCAGACCAGACUGUUGAACAACUCCUGUUCUUGUGACUUAAAGGGACCUGUGUGUGAUGCCUGCCUAAGGCAUCAGGCAGCGGAGGGGAAGGAAGCGAAUCCCGGAGCCACGUUGAAAAGAAGCAGCUGAAAGAAGAGACUCGCUUUAUGAUUGCACCCUGCUGGGUGGAGCUGGGUCACAAACUGAUUUCUUGUUGGUGCAUCUAUUUCUCUCACUAGUGUCCUAUUAUGCAUCUGUGUCCCCAGUGCCUGGCGUAGGUAGUAGAUGCUCAGAAAUGUUUGAGUGUUGAAUGUCGAAAGCUUCAGGGACUUGACCCAUUUUUUCACCUACAGAACCUGCAGAGAGAGUUUUUCUGGCAUCGUGUAAUCUUUCCCAAAGGUGUGUUGGCAGUGGUAAGACUUCUCGUUACAAAACACGCCAGGUAGGGUGACGGAGACAAGCUGAACUAGGUGUGGAACCUUCUCUAAGAAUGUUUGCAGGCACUUAUGUUCACAGCAGGGGCAGAUCCAGGUUUCUGGGGACCUGAGGCUGAUACAAACUGGGACUCCUUCUAAGAAAAAGGAUAUCAAAUUAUGAGACAAGAUUAGGUGUACGUGUGAAUAUUAAUUUAAGGGAAAUCGCAACAAAUUACAAAUUUUAAAAGGCUGAGAAAUACAAACAUUGCAAAAAAGCAGAAAAAUCACAUAGUGUUUGUGUGGUUAACUAUCGGAUACACCACUGUAACACGUUUUUCUCUACCUUUCUUGGCUGGUGUCCUGGCAGGAGCGGCCUAUGAUGAGUCCAUGUUACCCUCGUUGAUGUCAGCAUUUGGCGAUCCAGUCACCAAGAAUACAAGCCUGUUUUCAAUAGACUCACGUGAUUCACUCUUCUUCAUUAGAUUGGGUAUUCAAUUUAUUUAUGCUCAAAGUGUAUCUUUUCCUCUUAAUGAAGUACUGCUUUUGGUACUAUCUGGUUCUUAUAAUCUUUCUCUCUUCUUUUGUCAUUAUUUAUAUUUUCUUAAUUGUGAUUUUUCUAUGUGAUUCUUUUCCUUGAUUUCAUGCUUUUGUCCAUCAGAUUUUUUUUAGCAUCUGUUGUGGUAGAACAAAGACUUUUUGACAUUUUGGAGUUUCUUCUAGUGCUUUUAUCUUUUAGUUUUUAUCUGAAGCUCCCACUAAGAUGCUUCUUUCUUGAUACAUUUGAAUUUUGUAUAAUCAAUAAUUCUGAAAGAAUAUACAACGUUAAUCAGAAAUAAAAGCACUCUCAAGAGCCAUUCAAACGCAUUUAAAAAUCGCCGAAACAUUGUAUUGUUACAUGUUGCGUAAUCAAAUCCCUCUUCUGCCACGUGGACCGGUGUAUUGUUAAGUAUGUGUGAGGGUUUUGGCCCCGUGGAACACUUGCUUCUGUAUCUCCGGUGAUUUGGUGCCCAGUUUCAUCCAGAGCCACCAGACUUCACCAUAACAGGAUCACGUGCUCUCAGGACGAUCUGUUCGGUGGGGACAGGGAACCCGUGAAAGGCAUCACAUGAGCAGGGGAAUGCUCCUUCUUCGCAGAGAAAAGUGGAUAAGCAGCGACUCCAGACCAAGUCUUGAUGUGAGCUGGAAAGCAGCAUGUAUUGAAAGCCUUAAAAAUAUUUAUAUCCCCCUCAAACACACACACAUUCCCAUACUUUGACCUAGUAACUUGACUUUGGGGUGUUAAUCUUAAGGAAAUACUCCUAAAAAUGAAAAAAAAAUUAUUAUGCACAAAGAUGUUAAUAAUAUUUUCUUAAAAAAACCUAUUUGGAAUAACCUGCUCAGACAGUAAAUGGCUGGUUAUCUAAAUCAUGAAACAUCAGCUUGAUGGUUAUUAUUCUUCUUAAAGUUUAUGGAAGCUUUGUUCAAAAUAGUUCUCACAUAAUGUAAGCAAAAAAAGCAAGAUAUAAAAUUAUAUGCACAUUUUCAUUUCAGCUAGAUUGUCAUAAUCCCUAUGCUCGGAAAAAUCGUGGAAUAUACAUUAUUUUGAAAUGUAUAUUCUAUACUUAUGUACACUACACAUAUCAUGAACAUCCUUCCAUAUUAAUAAAUAUAGAUUUAUGAUAUCAUUUUCAUAGCUGCAUGGUAUUCCAUUGUAUGCAUGAACCCAAAUUUAAUCAAUCUCUUAUUUUAAGACAUUUAGAUUGUUUCCAAUCUUUUCCUGGUUUAAGUAUACUGCAAUGAAUAAUCUUGCACAUUAAUCUUUAGCCAGUUCUCCAAUUAUUUCCUCAGAAACGAUUCCUAGAAGUGGAAUUGCUGGGUCAAAGGCAUGUUCAGGGCUUUUGAAACCGAUUGCCAAAUGACCUUCCAGAGAGACUGUAAACCUCCACUCCAGCGGCCGUGUGGGAGUGGACGCCCUGCCCCUGGCGCCUUUGCAACACUGACUCAUUAAUUUGCUGUAAAAUUGAGAAAAUAACUUAAGGGAAUAUUCCUGCAAUA